GAUGCAAAAGAAGACGCCGGUAGCCAACUGACAACAACUUGAACAAGUACUUGUUUCUGUUUAUUUAACGAGACAAACACAAUCAAGGAGUUAUGAACGUAUAGAUACUCGAGGAAAUAAUACAGCAGUACAUUGUAUUACAACAAAUGGACAGAGGAGUUGACUAUUGAUAGUGACUGAUAAUGGACUGGAGUAACCUAGCGUCCAAUGACUCUGAACAUGCCUGACAGUACUGGCAUUUGUACAUGUAUGUCGACAGCCAAUUCUAAGUAACCUUAAACGUAUACAUUGUAUAUACAAAAGACCUACAAUAAUGAUUGAAAAUAGCUCAUGAGAUGUCAGUGGAAUGGAAGUAAUACACAUCAUAUGUUUCAAUGAAAUUAACAUGAUUAAUGAUGGGAUAAGACGUAGAGGAGAUCCUAUAGCUACAGUACAUGUACAUGUAACUGCAAAUGUAUUCCAAGAGUUUAUGGCUGAUUAUGCAACUACAGGAUUUUAUCAUUGAAGCAACAUCUUAGAAGGAUAAGUGCAAAUGUAUGAAGGAAGCCUUGUGUACAAAUACAUGUAGCAAUUACAUGCAGGAGAGAACACUUAAACAUUACUAACAUGUUGUCAUGAUAUUGGAGUGGUGCAUUCUAGAAAUCUAAACACCUGGAAUUAAAUAUUGUGUAUAUUUUUUUUCAACCACAAGUACUUUCAGCAUAUAAUACAAUUCAUAUUCAAAUUAUUGUGUCAACAUGACAGUUACUGUCUAAAAAUGGAAAAUGCUUGUUUUAAAAUGAAUUUUAUAUAAAUAUUUUAAAUAACAAGAA
Long non-coding RNA from Mytilus californianus (California mussel), 812 nucleotides. RefSeq lists it as uncharacterized. The transcript is spliced from 4 exons. Lineage: Eukaryota; Metazoa; Mollusca; Bivalvia; Mytilida; Mytilidae. The record is from RefSeq and is a predicted model, not a curated record.